This 497-nucleotide ribosomal RNA is filed under the name uncultured bacterium. RNAcentral's name for it is "partial 16S ribosomal RNA". It matches the Rfam family "Bacterial small subunit ribosomal RNA", at positions 28 to 507 of the family's 1533-position model. The record is from RNAcentral.
GAUGAACGCUGGCGGCGUGCCUAAUACAUGCAAGUCGAGCGAACAGACGAGGAGCUUGCUCCUCUGACGUUAGCGGCGGACGGGUGAGUAACACGUGGAUAACCUACCUAUAAGACUGGGAUAACUUCGGGAAACCGGAGCUAAUACCGGAUAAUAUAUUGAACCGCAUGGUUCAAUAGUGAAAGACGGUUUUGCUGUCACUUAUAGAUGGAUCCGCGCCGCAUUAGCUAGGUGGUAAGGUAACGGCUUACCAAGGCAACGAUGCGUAGCCGACCUGAGAGAGUGAUCGGCCACACUGGAACUGAGACACGGUCCAGACUCCUACGGGAGGCAGCAGUAGGGAAUCUUCCGCAAUGGGCGAAAGCCUGACGGAGCAACGCCGCGUGAGUGAUGAAGGUCUUCGGAUCGUAAAACUCUGUUAUUAGGGAAGAACAAAUGUGUAAGUAACUAUGCACGUCUUGACGGUACCUAAUCAGAAAGCCACGGCUAACUACGUG